UACGUAGGGUGCGAGCGUUAAUCGGAAUUACUGGGCGUAAAGUGUGCGCAGGCGGCCGCGCAAGUCGAGUGUGAAAUCCCCGGGCUUAACCUGGGAACUGCAUUGGUGACUGCAUUGCUGGAGUAUGGCAGAGGGGGGUGGAAUUCCACGUGUAGCAGUGAAAUGCGUAGAGAUGUGGAGGAACACCGAUGGCGAAGGCAGCCCCCUGGGCCAAUACUGACGCUCAUGCACGAAAGCGUGGGGAGCAAACAGG
This 253-nucleotide ribosomal RNA is filed under the name uncultured bacterium. Its description in RNAcentral is "partial 16S ribosomal RNA". It matches the Rfam family "Bacterial small subunit ribosomal RNA", at positions 524 to 776 of the family's 1533-position model. The record is from RNAcentral.